AGAACUUUAGUAUAAUUUAGUAUAUUUCAUUGUCGUUGAGGAGGUUUUAAGUUUUA
This 56-nucleotide transfer RNA is filed under the name Strongyloides sp. EN-2020a. RNAcentral's name for it is "tRNA-Asp". The record is from RNAcentral. Lineage: Eukaryota; Metazoa; Nematoda; Chromadorea; Rhabditida; Strongyloididae.